Long non-coding RNA from Cylas formicarius (sweet potato weevil), 377 nucleotides. RefSeq lists it as uncharacterized. The transcript has 3 exons. Lineage: Eukaryota; Metazoa; Arthropoda; Insecta; Coleoptera; Brentidae. The record is from RefSeq and is a predicted model, not a curated record.
CGACGUUGGACAAAAGACUAGACUCUUGUCUGGCAAAGUUACGUAGUUUUAGUAAUAUUGGUUAUACUUAUAUAUUUCUUAAAAAAAAAACUACAAUGCCUCGAAAUUACAAGCGGAAGGCUCCACACAGGUCCGUUGUUACCCGUGAUCAAUUUGAUGCUGCUAAGCGAUUGAUUGCCGAAGGUUUAAGUAAAAGAAAAGCAGCUGAACAGGUUGGAAUGAAAGAGAGUACUCUCAAGAAGCGAUUAAAAUCUGAUUCAACUGCUCUAAAAUUAGGAAGAUUCACUUCAACUUUCACAAGAGGAGCGAUUCCCCUUCUCUCGACGAGAUACACCUCUCCCAUCACUGAGCUGAACUUUAUUAAUUACGCAACCGAA